AACGAACGCUGGCGGCAGGCCUAACACAUGCAAGUCGAGCGAGGACUUCGGUCCUAGCGGCGGACGGGUGAGUAACGCGUGGGAACGUGCCCUUUGCUUCGGAAUAGCCCUGGGAAACUGGGAGUAAUACCGGAUGAGCCCUUUGGGGGAAAGAUUUAUCGGCGAAGGAUCGGCCCGCGUUGGAUUAGGUAGUUGGUGGGGUAAUGGCCUACCAAUCCGACGAUCCAUAGCUGGUUUGAGAGGAUGAUCAGCCACACUGGGACUGAGACACGGCCCAGACUCCUACGGGAGGCAGCAGUGGGGAAUCUUAGACAAUGGGGGAAACCCUGAUCGAGCCAUGCCGCGUGAGCGAUGAAGGCCUUAGGGUUGUAAAGCUCUUUCAGCUGGGAAGAUAAUGACGGUACCAGCAGAAGAAGCCCCGGCUAACUCCGUG
Molecule: ribosomal RNA, 433 nt
Filed under: uncultured bacterium
Lineage: Bacteria
Description: partial 16S ribosomal RNA
Rfam family: Bacterial small subunit ribosomal RNA
Source: RNAcentral